Vicia faba (fava bean) is the source of this 306-nucleotide non-coding RNA. The record is from the annotation of a GenBank genome assembly. NCBI's taxonomy places the organism in Eukaryota, Viridiplantae, Streptophyta, Magnoliopsida, Fabales, Fabaceae.
AUGUCAUCAAUAAAAAGGUCACACUCAUCAUCAACGCAUCGAUUUCUCUACACAAAUCAACAACAUUGCACGAAUCAGCACAACUCAGGAACGAAAAAGGAAACAAAAAAAAGUUCGAAUCAGAGAGGGUUGAAUCAUAUUGUUAUUACUAUCGUCACCGUUGAAGAUGCUUCAGGCGAAUUCCAACCAGAGAUUGAUGGAAUUGAGAACGAAACAGAGGUGAUUAAUAAGCAGACGGCGGUGAGAGGCGGCGAUAAUGUUGUUCAUGGCGGGGGAAGGCGUUUGAGAAGUAGAGAGAUGAAGUAG